RNAcentral lists this transfer RNA (61 nucleotides) under Dinobdella ferox. RNAcentral describes it as "tRNA-Cys". Lineage: Eukaryota; Metazoa; Annelida; Clitellata; Hirudinida; Hirudinidae. The record is from RNAcentral.
AAGAGUUUAGUUGAAUAACAACAUUAAAUUGCAGAUUUAAAAGUGUGUAAUACAAUUCUUU